AUGAGAGUUUGAUCCUGGCUCAGAGUGAACGCUGGCGGCACGCUUAACACAUGCAAGUCGAACGGAUGAAUUUGGUUCGCCAAAUUCGUUAGUGGCAGACGGGUGAGUAAUACAUGGGAAUCUGCCUUGUAGAGUGGGAUAACUGUUGGAAACGACAGCUAAUACCACAUAUUGCCGAGAGGUGAAAGAUUUUUCGCUACAAGAUGAGCCCAUGCAGGAUUAGCUAGUUGGUAGGGUAAUGGCCUACCAAGGCUGUGAUCUUUAGUUGGUCUGAGAGGAUGAUCAGCCACACUGGAACUGAGACACGGUCCAGACUCCUACGGGAGGCAGCAGUGGGGAAUAUUAGACAAUGGGCGCAAGCCUGAUCUAGCGAUGCCGCGUGAGUGAAGAAGGCCUUAGGGUCGUAAAGCUCUUUUAGUAGGGAAGAUAAUGACGGUACCUACAGAAAAAGUCCCGGCUAACUUCGUGCCAGCAGCCGCGGUAAUACGAAGGGGGCUAGCGUUACUCGGAAUUACUGGGCGUAAAGCGUGCGUAGGCUGUUUUGUAAGUUGAUGGUUAAAUUCUUGGGCUCAACCCAAGGCCUGCUAUCAAAACUGCAAAACUAGAGUGCCAAAGAAGAUAGUGGAAUUCCUAGUGUAGAGGUGAAAUUCGUAGAUAUUAGGAGGAACACCAGAAGCGAAAGCGGCUAUCUAGUUGGAUACUGACGCUGUUGCACGAAGGCGUGGGGAGCAAACAGGAUUAGAUACCCUGGUAGUCCACGCAGUAAACGAUGAGUGCUAGGUGUCGGGACCGAGGUUUCGGCGUCGUAGCUAACGCGUUAAGCACUCCGCCUGGGGAGUACGGUCGCAAGAUUAAAACUCAAAGGAAUUGACGGGGACCCGCACAAGCGGUGGAACAUGUGGUUUAAUUCGAUGUCACGCGAAAAACCUUACCAAGUCUUGACAUGAUGGUCGUAUAUUUAGGAAACUGAAUAGUCAGUUCGGCUGGACCAUCACAGGUGUUGCAUGGCUGUCGUCAGCUCGUGUCGUGAGAUGUUGGGUUAAGUCCCGCAACGAGCGCAACCCUCGCUCUUAGUUACAAACAGUUCGGCUGUGGACUCUAAGGGGACUGCUAGUGAAAACUAGAGGAAGGUGGGGACGAUGUCAAGUCAGCAUGGCCCUUAUGACUUGGGCUACACACGUGUUACAAUGGUGAUUACAAUGGGCGGCAAUAGGGUAACCUAAAGCGAAUCCUCAAAAAUCAUCUCAGUUCGGAUUGCACUCUGCAACUCGAGUGCAUGAAGUCGGAAUCGCUAGUAAUCGCAGAUCAGAACGCUGCGGUGAAUACGUUCCCGGGUCUUGUACACACUGCCCGUCACGCCAUGGGAGUUGGUCUUGCCUUAAGUACAUGCGCUAACCGUAAGGGGGCAGUGUACCACGGUGAGGUCGAUGACUGGGGUGAAGUCGUAACAAGGUAGCCGUAGGGGAACCUGCGGCUGGAUUACCUCCUU
RNAcentral lists this ribosomal RNA (1489 nucleotides) under Candidatus Euplotella sexta. RNAcentral describes it as "bacterial SSU rRNA". It matches the Rfam family "Bacterial small subunit ribosomal RNA". The record is from RNAcentral. Lineage: Bacteria; Pseudomonadati; Pseudomonadota; Alphaproteobacteria; Rickettsiales; Candidatus Midichloriaceae.